AAACGAUACCGUGAUUCACGCAAAUAAGCAGAUUAGAUUCUCCUCUUAUGUCACCGGAGCCAGAUAACGGUUGUCUUCAUCGACUGACACGCGUUUUGAAAUACACGGCGACACAACAAACAACUGAUUCCCGUUAUGAGCCACCUCUAGUCAGUUUUGAAGCAUGUUGCAACAUAACCUCAUUGCGAAUCGGUGGAUAAUGUCGAAAAUAAUGAUUUACGAUAUUUGAAAUCGUAAAUUUCGAAAGGUAUCAUGUUGUCGCGAAGUGAUUACUUGAUGGUAAAUAAUCGUAUUAAUAGAACACAAAUAUGGACACAAACUUGUAUCUAUCAUGGAAACUAAUUCGUGAAUCUUAUUCCAUCCUUCUGAAUCAUCCCCAAAAGAUAUUAACAAGCUAUACUUCAUCGCUCUAAAAGUUUGUACAAUCUUUUCUGAAUAUUUAAUAUCAAGUUAAUUACUACUUUUGUGGCUUUUUAACCCGAAUUUGCAUCAUCGUUAACAAGGAGAGUACAAGACCUUUAGGAUUCCGAUUUACUUGAA
Long non-coding RNA from Eufriesea mexicana, 540 nucleotides. RefSeq lists it as uncharacterized. The record is from RefSeq and is a predicted model, not a curated record. Lineage: Eukaryota; Metazoa; Arthropoda; Insecta; Hymenoptera; Apidae. The transcript is spliced from 3 exons.